AGGCAGGAUUUAACUAUAAUAUAGAUGACACGGAUUGUAUUGUUAUUCCCCCUGCUCAAAACAAUGUUGUUUCUUAACUAUACCUGACUGCUAUGUAGCAGCCAGGUAUGUUUAGUCUCAUACAU
This is a small nucleolar RNA of Jaculus jaculus (lesser Egyptian jerboa), 125 nucleotides long. RefSeq annotates it as small nucleolar RNA SNORA63. Lineage: Eukaryota; Metazoa; Chordata; Mammalia; Rodentia; Dipodidae. The transcript has a single exon. The record is from RefSeq and is a predicted model, not a curated record.